Molecule: ribosomal RNA, 373 nt
Filed under: uncultured bacterium
Lineage: Bacteria
Description: bacterial SSU rRNA
Rfam family: Bacterial small subunit ribosomal RNA
Source: RNAcentral
AGCGAACGCUAGCGGCGGGCUUAACACAUGCAAGUCGAGCGCGUGGCUUCGGCCACGAGUGGCGAACGGGUGAGUAAUGCAUCGGAACGUGCCCAAUCGUGGGGGAUAACGUAGCGAAAGUUACGCUAAUACCGCAUAAGCCCUGAGGGGGAAAGUAGGGGACCGCGAAGGCCUCACGCGAAUGGAGCGGCCGAUGUCAGAUUAGCUAGUUGGUGGGGUAAAGGCCCGACCAAGGCGACGAUCUGUAGCGGGUCUGAGAGGAUGAUCCGCCACACUGGGACUGAGACACGGCCCAGACUCCUACGGAGGCAGCAGUGGGGAAUUUUGGACAAUGGGCGCAAGCCUGAUCCAGCCAUGCCGCGUGCGGGACGAA